UUGGUUAAGUUAGAAAGGGCGCACGGUGGAUGCCUUGGCACUAGGAGCCGAAGAAGGACGGGACUAACACCGAUAUGCUUUGGGGAGCUGUACGUAAGCGUUGAUCCAGAGAUUUCCGAAUGGGGGAACCCACUAUCUUUAGUCGGAUAGUAUCCUUACGUGAAUACAUAGCGUGAGGAAGGCAGACCCAGGGAACUGAAACAUCUAAGUACCUGGAGGAAGAGAAAGAAAAAUCGAUUUCCUGAGUAGCGGCGAGCGAAACGGAAAGAGCCCAAACCAAGAAGCUUGCUUCUUGGGGUUGUAGGACACUCUAUACGGAGUUACAAAAGAAAGUUAUAAAUGAAGCGGUCUGGAAAGGCCCGCCAAAGACGGUAACAGCCCGGUAGUUGAAAUGGCUUUCCCUCCAGAGUGGAUCCUGAGUACGGCGGAACACGUGAAAUUCCGUCGGAAUCCGGGAGGACCAUCUCCCAAGGCUAAAUACUCCCUAGUGACCGAUAGUGAACCAGUACCGUGAGGGAAAGGUGAAAAGCACCCCGGAAGGGGAGUGAAACAGUUCCUGAAACCGUGUGCCUACAAGUAGUUAGAGCCCGUUAAUGGGUGAUAGCGUGCCUUUUGUAGAAUGAACCGGCGAGUUACGAUUUGUUGCAAGGUUAAGCGGAAAAAGCGGAGCCGUAGCGAAAGCGAGUCUGAAUAGGGCGCAUAAGUAACAGGUCGUAGACCCGAAACCAGGUGAUCUACCCAUGUCCAGGAUGAAGGUAAGGUAAUACUUACUGGAGGUCCGAACCCACGCACGUUGAAAAGUGCGGGGAUGAGGUGUGGGUAGCGGAGAAAUUCCAAUCGAACUUGGAGAUAGCUGGUUCUCUCCGAAAUAGCUUUAGGGCUAGCCUCGAGGUAAAGAGUCAUGGAGGUAGAGCACUGUUUGGACUAGGGGCCCUUCUCGGGUUACCGAAUUCAGAUAAACUCCGAAUGCCAUGUACUUAUACUCGGGAGUCAGACUGCGAGUGAUAAGAUCCGUAGUCGAAAGGGAAACAGCCCAGACCACCAGUUAAGGUCCCCAAAUAUAUGUUAAGUGGAAAAGGAUGUGGGGUUGCUUAGACAACCAGGAUGUUGGCUUAGAAGCAGCCACCAUUGAAAGAGUGCGUAAUAGCUCACUGGUCGAGUGACCCCGCGCCGAAAAUGUACCGGGGCUAAAC
This 1193-nucleotide ribosomal RNA is filed under the name Listeria monocytogenes. RNAcentral's name for it is "partial 23S ribosomal RNA". It matches the Rfam family "Bacterial large subunit ribosomal RNA", at positions 1 to 1187 of the family's 2925-position model. The record is from RNAcentral. Lineage: Bacteria; Bacillati; Bacillota; Bacilli; Caryophanales; Listeriaceae.